GGAGACAUGCUGGACGUCCACCUCCGACUAUUUUGUGAGAGGUUGAAAAGGGUGUUAGCAGGUAAAGAAGGCGCGUUGCCGUUGCCUGAUUCAACAAAUUUAACCCCGCUUUUUGAAAACCUUCUUACGGAGACUGAAAUUAUUACUACUCUGCUCGGGAACUACGAAGGCGACAUGGCUCGUCAUUUGAUUCAACUCAUUGGAGACGAAUUCGAUGAAGACGAACUGCCUUUGCCUUUCCGGCAAUUCUUGGACGUAGAUGAAGUUAGAAUUUGAAGAUCAAAGGAAGAAGAUGAAGAUCUGAUUGUAUUUUGAUUAUCACAAAAACUAACUACAGUAAUGAGCUUAGCUCAGUAUUUAUAGUAGAAUCUAAUGCUUGCUAAUCACGCCAAUUACAGCUAAGUAAUCUAACUUCUAAAUAACAAAUGCUAAUGUAACUAACUUCAACACAAUUAACAGGAGCUGAUUUGUUAACUAAUUUCAGCCUGAUCCAACUGCAUGGGAAUCUCUUCAUAACAGUUUUGCCAUCUGGAAUUUAGCAGCUUCUCACGUGCACCUUUCACUUUCACUCCUAGACUAGCUACUGGAUUUACAGCUGGCUUGAUUCCAGCUGGCACUCCAACGUGUGUUGCAUGAGGUUCAGCUUCAUCAACUAAUUCAACACCCCUUCUCAAACUUAAGUCUUUUGGGAAGACUUUAAGUUUGCUUCUGAAGAAGUUGAACUUGGGAUAAGUUAGGGGUUUAGUUAAUAUAUUAGCAACUUGAUCAUUUGUAGACACAAACACAAUUUCAACUUCUUUCCUCUCAACUUUCUGCUGUACGGCCAAGGCGGAUGUACGGUACAGCAGAUCGUAAAACCUUCUAAGAUUCAAAUUUGAAUUUGUUAUGGAUGGUGGAAGGAAAAAUAAUUCGAUAUUAAAAAAAUUUAAAAAAAAAAGACAAACCAGAACAAGUUACUUUAGUUGUUACUUUACUUGAAAUACUUUUAAUCAAACACUUAGUUUACUUGAAAUACUUUUCCAGCAAACAAUAAUGAUCAUAGCCCACGAAUAGAAACAAUUACAAGAAAGUCAAUAAAGCAACAAAAGACAAACCAGACUAGGAAACAAAGAAAUUCAACUAAACAAUCAUUAGGUACAAACUGCAAUUGCAUUUAGCCUCACAAUCUCAAAUUUGCUACGUGCUUUGAUAUUUCCUGUACUAUUCUUUUGGCCCAUCCCAAAGAAAUCGGAUAAGACAUAUACAAUUGCAACACUUUCUCCCUUCUUUUUUCUGUAAUUUGUAUGGCGACUUACGUAUAUAUAACCUAAUUAUUGAUGAUGGAUUAGAAAAUCAUUAGGCUUAUUAAUUAUACGCGUCAAAAGAAUGGUCGGGCAAUAAUUAGGUGUCCUGCUUAUACUCCUGUAAUUUAGUCAUUCUCUAGUAAAUAUUAUUAAAUAAAAAGAAACACAAACAAUUAAGCUUAUUGGUAACUGAAUUGGUGCCCAAAAAUAACAAGAGCAGGAGAAAGCAAACACACCCAAGAAUUUGACAAACUUCAACUUGAAAUCCAGAAUUUGACAAACUUCCCUUUGUUUACUGAAGCAUAGUAUUUCAUAACGGAGGCAUGCAUUUUAUUAUUUAAUAUCUUGUAGAACUGGAAACUCAAAUCAAACAGGGGCUGUGCAUGUCUACAAAAAGCAACUACAAAAAUAAAAACUACAAUAAAAACAAUGGUUACAAGCAAAUAAAUCACGCAUGACCCAUCACCCAUCAAUUUAUUCUAACGAAAGCCCCAACAUUUUAUGAAUGAAAAGGAAGAAAAUGAAAAAUUGCUUGUAAUAGAGUAAAGGAGCACUAAAAAACGAACAACAGGUAGAGGAAAACGCACCACUGACAGAGGCGUAUGAGAGUGGCCGGUGUCGGAAUCGCACCGAUGAGAAUUUCAGUGACAGAAUCGCAUCAAUUGGAACUCCCACAGUCGGAAUCGUGCUGAUGAGAAUGGGUGUUUAGGGUUUGUUUAAAAAAAAAAUCGAUUUGAAAUAGAACUCCCACUGACACGACUGUUUGAUAAAAUGAAAAUGGAAUAAUAUAUAAGGCUAAUUUAGUAAUUAAACUUGUAGCUGGGAAAAAAAAUAUGCCAAGUUGUCAAAACACAGCUAUAAGUGUUACCAAACACUUUGGUGGCUGGGCUUUGGCAGCCCAGCCACCUCACCACACUCCCAAACGGGCCCUAAGUGAGAGAAGGAGACAUGCUGGACGUCCACCUCCGACUAUUUUGUGAGAGGUUGAAAAGGGUGUUAGCAGGUAAAGAAGGCGCGUUGCCGUUGCCUGAUUCAACAAAUUUAACCCCGCUUUUUGAAAACCUUCUUACGGAGACUGAAAUUAUUACUACUCUGCUCGGGAACUACGAAGGCGACAUGGCUCGUCAUUUGAUUCAACUCAUUGGAGACGAAUUCGAUGAAGACGAACUGCCUUU
RNAcentral lists this long non-coding RNA (2458 nucleotides) under Citrus sinensis (sweet orange). RNAcentral's name for it is "long non-coding RNA (CSIN_LNC001128)". The record is from RNAcentral. Lineage: Eukaryota; Viridiplantae; Streptophyta; Magnoliopsida; Sapindales; Rutaceae.